AACGAACGCUGGCGGCGUGCCUAACACAUGCAAGUCGAGCGAGAAAAGGGGGGCAACUCCCUGAGUACAGCGGCGCACGGGUGAGUAACACGCAGGUAACCUGCCCUCGAGCUCGGAAUAACCUACCGAAAGGUGGGCUAAUACCGGAUAUGACCACGGGAGUUUCGGCUCCUGCGGUGAAAGGUGGCCUCUACCUGUAAGCUACCACUCAAGGAUGGGCCUGCGUGCCAUUAGCUAGUUGGUAAGGUAACGGCUCACCAAGGCUAUGAUGGCUAGCUGGUCUGAGAGGAGGGCCAGCCACACUGGGACUGAAACACGGCCCAGACUCCUACGGGAGGCAGCAGUAAGGAAUAUUGCUCAAUGGCCGAAAGGCUGAAGCAGCAACGCCGCGUGAGGGA
This 398-nucleotide ribosomal RNA is filed under the name uncultured bacterium. RNAcentral's name for it is "bacterial SSU rRNA". It matches the Rfam family "Bacterial small subunit ribosomal RNA", at positions 29 to 408 of the family's 1533-position model. The record is from RNAcentral.